Non-coding RNA from Ameiurus melas (black bullhead), 74 nucleotides. The record is from the annotation of a GenBank genome assembly. Lineage: Eukaryota; Metazoa; Chordata; Actinopteri; Siluriformes; Ictaluridae.
GGUAGUGUUGGCUUGGCGGUUAAGGCUCUGGGUUACUGACUGGAAGGUUGGGGGUUCAAGCCCCAGCACUACCA